GGAGAGGUCGCAUAGAUGGCCGAGUGCGCACGCUUGGAAAGCGUGUGGGCGUGAUGAGCGCCCCGCGGGUUCGAAUCCCGCCCUCUCCG
Molecule: transfer RNA, 89 nt
Filed under: Anaerolineae bacterium
Lineage: Bacteria; Bacillati; Chloroflexota; Anaerolineae
Description: tRNA-Ser
Rfam family: tRNA
About the family: Transfer RNA (tRNA) molecules are approximately 80 nucleotides in length. Their secondary structure includes four short double-helical elements and three loops (D, anti-codon, and T loops). Further hydrogen bonds mediate the characteristic L-shaped molecular structure. tRNAs have two regions of fundamental functional importance: the anti-codon, which is responsible for specific mRNA codon recognition, and the 3' end, to which the tRNAs corresponding amino acid is attached (by aminoacyl-tRNA synthetases). tRNAs cope with the degeneracy of the genetic code in two manners: having more than one tRNA (with a specific anti-codon) for a particular amino acid; and 'wobble' base-pairing, i.e. permitting non-standard base-pairing at the 3rd anti-codon position.
Source: RNAcentral